GGGCGGCGUGGACGCGAUGAUCACAGCCCCGUGCGCGGUCGCUUGGGUUUGCGGGAGCAAGUAGCGAGACCGGCCACGUGCCU
RNAcentral lists this non-coding RNA (83 nucleotides) under unclassified sequences. RNAcentral describes it as "c-di-GMP sequence". It matches the Rfam family "c-di-GMP-II-GAG riboswitch aptamer". The record is from Rfam by way of RNAcentral.